UACAGAGGUCCCAAGCGUUGUUCGAAUUCACUGGGCGUAAAGGGUGCGCAGGUGGGUUUGCAAGUUCGAUGUGAAAGCCCCGGGCUUAACCCGGGGAAUGGCAUUGGAUACUGCAGAUCUGGAGGAUCGGAGGGGGGACUGGAAUUCUUGGUGUAGCAGUGAAAUGCGUAGAUAUCAAGAGGAACACCAGUGGCGAAGGCGAGUCCCUGGACGAUACCUGACACUGAGGCACGAAAGCUAGGGGAGCAAACAGG
This 254-nucleotide ribosomal RNA is filed under the name uncultured bacterium. Its description in RNAcentral is "partial 16S ribosomal RNA". It matches the Rfam family "Bacterial small subunit ribosomal RNA", at positions 524 to 776 of the family's 1533-position model. The record is from RNAcentral.